CUGGUUGAUCCUGCCAGUAGUCAUAUGCUUGUCUCAAAGAUUAAGCCAUGCAUGUCUCAGUGCAAGCCGUACGCGUUCGCGCGUCUAGGUGAAACCGCGAAAGGCUCAUUAAAUCAGUUAUGGUUCCUUGGAUCGUACCAACUAGUUACUUGGAUAACUGUGGUAAUUCUAGAGCUAAUACAUGCCGACAGAGUUCCAUCCGUCCUCGCGGACGGGAGGAACGCUUUUAUUAGAUCAAAACCAAUCGGCGACGCGGGCUUGCUCGCUCGCCGCGAACACGCGGUUCUCUCCUUGCGAGGGACACCGUUCAAGUGGUGACUCUGAAUAACUUUGAGCUGAUCGCACGGCCUUCGUGCUGGCGAUGCAUCUUUCAAAUGUCUGCCUUAUCAACUGUCGAUGGUAGGUUAUGCGCCUACCAUGGUGGUAACGGGUGACGGGGGAUCAGGGUUCGAUUCCGGAGAGGGGGCCUGAGAAACGGCUACCACAUCCAAGGAAGGCAGCAGGCACGCAAAUUACCCACUCCCAGUCCGGGGAGGUAGUGACGAAAUAUAACGAUACGGGACUCUUUUGAGGCCUCGUAAUCGGAAUGAGUACACUUUAAAACGUUUAACGAGGAUCCAUUGGAGAGCAAGUCUGGUGCCAGCAGUCGCGGUAAUUCCAGCUCCAAUAGCGUAUAUUAAAGUUGUUGCGGUUAAAAAGCUCGUAGUUGGAUGUGUGUCUCGCGGCGUCGGUUCACCGCUUGAAGGCGGUGUCAACUGGCGCGCCAGCGAAAUGUCCUGCCGGUGGCGGUGUCUGGGUCGGCAGGUACGGGACGUUGUCGGCGGCGAGAGCCGCUUCGCGCCGCCUCUCGUGCGCAGCACGUCUGCUCGGCCUGUGCGGAUCGGCCGUCGGUUCCUCUCCUCGCCGGAGGGGAUUCUUGUCGCGGUGCCCGGUGCGCGCGGGUUCGCUUUGCGCUCGCGCCACUGGUGUCGAGGCGGACCGGCACGUUUACUUUGAACAAAUUAGAGUGCUUAAAGCAGGCAAGCAAUGUGUGACGGGGUUUGCAGCCCCGGCCGCCUGAAUACUGUGUGCAUAGAAUAACUGAAUAGGACGUCGGUUCCAGAGGUUAAGUGGUUUUCGGAGCCCGACGUAAUGAUUAACAGGGACGGGGCGGGGGCAUUCGUAUUGCGACGUUAGAGGUGAAAUUCUUAGAUCGUCGCAAGACGAACCGAAGCGAAAGCGUUUGCCAAGUACGUCCCCGUUGAUCAAGAACGAAAGUUAGAGGUUCGAAGGCGAUCAGAUACCGCCCUAGUUCUAACCAUAAACGAUGCCAGCCAGCGAUCCGCCAAUGUUUCUCCGAUGACUUGGCGGGCAGCUUCCGGGAAACCAGAGUUUUUGGGUUCCGGGGGAAGUAUGGUUGCAAAGCUGAAACUUAAAGGAAUUGACGGAAGGGAACCACCAGGAGUGGAGCCUGCGGCUUAAUUUGACUCAACACGGGAAACCUCACCAGGCCCGGACACCGGAGGAUUGACAGAUUGAGAGCUCUUUCUUGAUUCGGUGGGUGGUGGUGCAUGGCCGUUCUUAGUUGGUGGAGCGAUUUGUCUGGUUAAUUCCGAUAACGAACGAGACUCUUUCCUGCUAACUAGCCGUCAGCGUAUCGACUUCGUCGUCGUGCUGGCCAGGUCAAACCGGCCGUCGGUCGUGUGUGCUGGCGUGCGUUCGCGUGCGUCGGUGUGCGCGCCGGCGGUCGGUCUGGUCGUGCGGCGACGAGCUACCUGCGGUCAAUUUUCUUCUUAGAGGGACAGACGGCGUCUAGCCGUACGAGACUGAGCAAUAACAGGUCUGUGAUGCCCUUAGAUGUUCUGGGCCGCACGCGCGCUACACUGAAGGAAUCAGCGUGCUUUACCCUGGACCGAGAGGUCCGGGUAACCCGUUGAACCUCCUUCGUGAUAGGGAUCGGGGCUUGCAAUUUUUCCCCGUGAACGAGGAAUUCCCAGUAAGCGCGAGUCAUAAGCUCGCGUUGAUUACGUCCCUGCUCUUUGUACACACCGCCCGUCGCUACUACUAAUUGAAUGAUUUAGUGAGGUCUUCGGACCGGUGCUCGGAAGAGAGCCUCGUGCCCUCUCCCGACGUCACCGGAAAGAUGACCGAACUUGAUUAUUUAGAGGAAGUAAAAGUCGUAACAAGGUUUCCGUAGGUGAACCUGCGGAAGGA
This 2193-nucleotide ribosomal RNA is filed under the name Pseudophacopteron sp. Pseud1CAM_Pseudophacopteron_sp. RNAcentral describes it as "SSU rRNA". It matches the Rfam family "Eukaryotic small subunit ribosomal RNA". The record is from RNAcentral. Lineage: Eukaryota; Metazoa; Arthropoda; Insecta; Hemiptera; Phacopteronidae.